This 157-nucleotide small RNA is filed under the name Pedobacter sp. AK013. RNAcentral's name for it is "Flavo-1 RNA". It matches the Rfam family "Flavo-1 RNA". The record is from RNAcentral. Lineage: Bacteria; Pseudomonadati; Bacteroidota; Sphingobacteriia; Sphingobacteriales; Sphingobacteriaceae.
UUAUAAAACCGACAGCAGCGAAAAUCCUUUUUGGUCGCAGCAGCCCUGAAUGUACUGUCAUGCUGAGGUACAAAGCAUCUGCAGCCGAUGAAACAGAUGCUUCGUGCAUCAGCAUACAAUAAUCACAAAAAGAUUGAAGCGGAUGGCGGGAACAAAU